GUGUCUGUCCGCAGCUGGCGUGCGAAUGUAAAGACAAACUAAGCAUGUAGUACCGAGGAUGUAGGAAUUUCGGACGCGGGUUCAACUCCCGCCAGCUCCACCA
Molecule: transfer RNA, 103 nt
Filed under: Klebsiella aerogenes
Lineage: Bacteria; Pseudomonadati; Pseudomonadota; Gammaproteobacteria; Enterobacterales; Enterobacteriaceae
Also listed under: 2 other names
Description: tRNA-OTHER
Rfam family: transfer-messenger RNA
About the family: Bacterial tmRNA, also known as 10Sa RNA or SsrA, is named for its dual tRNA and mRNA-like properties. Its role is to liberate the mRNA from a stalled ribosome.
Source: RNAcentral